This 505-nucleotide ribosomal RNA is filed under the name bacterium KGJ-3-11. RNAcentral describes it as "bacterial SSU rRNA". It matches the Rfam family "Bacterial small subunit ribosomal RNA", at positions 382 to 879 of the family's 1533-position model. The record is from RNAcentral.
CCUGAUCCAGCCAUGCCGCGUGUGUGAAGAAGGCCUUUUGGUUGUAAAGCACUUUAAGCGAGGAGGAGGCUACCGAGAUUAAUACUCUUGGAUAGGGACGUUACUCGCAGAAUAAGCACCGGCUAACUCUGUGCCAGCAGCCGCGGUAAUACAGAGGGUGCGAGCGUUAAUCGGAUUUACUGGGCGUAAAGCGUGCGUAGGCGGCUUUUUAAGUCGGAUGUGAAAUCCCUGAGCUUAACUUAGGAAUUGCAUUCGAUACUGGGAAGCUAGAGUAUGGGAGAGGAUGGUAGAAUUCCAGGUGUAGCGGUGAAAUGCGUAGAGAUCUGGAGGAAUACCGAUGGCGAAGGCAGCCAUCUGGCCUAAUACUGACGCUGAGGUACGAAAGCAUGGGGAGCAAACAGGAUUAGAUACCCUGGUAGUCCAUGCCGUAAACGAUGUCUACUAGCCGUUGGGGCCUUUGAGGCUUUAGUGGCGCAGCUAACGCGAUAAGUAGACCGCCUGGGGA